RNAcentral lists this long non-coding RNA (408 nucleotides) under Serinus canaria (Common canary). RNAcentral describes it as "lncRNA (ENSSCAG00000006400.1)". Lineage: Eukaryota; Metazoa; Chordata; Aves; Passeriformes; Fringillidae. The record is from RNAcentral.
ACUGAAUCAAAACCACGCUGCCUGUUCCUACCUCCAAGACCCUCUGUAACUUGGAGUGCUCACAGUGGUGUCAUCUUCUAACCCUCUUCCUUGGCCUCCUAGGAUGUUUUCCUCUUCCCUCACCCUUCUCUUCCAGCACUGCAUUUGAUGUGAAGUCACUACUGAGAAGAUCAGCUCUUAUGAAGAAGCUGAAACCCAAACAAUUCUUCUGUCCUAAUUUGGAGAUCAGAUUGUCCAUUUGAUUCAUAUAUACAGAACAUCUGUUUAAACCCACACUGGAUAGCUGCCAGAUUACUGGAAAGGAUAUGGUAUAAAGAAGACUUUUGUUUCCUCCGAGCAAGGAGAAAAAAUAAGUUACAAGUUGGUGCAGAUUGCCGAGAAGAAGCAACUUUUUCUCUCCAGAAGCAG